This 433-nucleotide ribosomal RNA is filed under the name Vibrio alginolyticus. RNAcentral describes it as "bacterial SSU rRNA". It matches the Rfam family "Bacterial small subunit ribosomal RNA", at positions 246 to 671 of the family's 1533-position model. Lineage: Bacteria; Pseudomonadati; Pseudomonadota; Gammaproteobacteria; Vibrionales; Vibrionaceae. The record is from RNAcentral.
UAGUUGGUGAGGUAAGGGCUCACCAAGGCGACGAUCCCUAGCUGGUCUGAGAGGAUGAUCAGCCACACUGGAACUGAGACACGGUCCAGACUCCUACGGGAGGCAGCAGUGGGGAAUAUUGCACAAUGGGCGCAAGCCUGAUGCAGCCAUGCCGCGUGUGUGAAGAAGGCCUUCGGGUUGUAAAGCACUUUCAGUCGUGAGGAAGGUAGUGUAGUUAAUAGCUGCAUUAUUUGACGUUAGCGACAGAAGAAGCACCGGCUAACUCCGUGCCAGCAGCCGCGGUAAUACGGAGGGUGCGAGCGUUAAUCGGAAUUACUGGGCGUAAAGCGCAUGCAGGUGGUUUGUUAAGUCAGAUGUGAAAGCCCGGGGCUCAACCUCGGAAUAGCAUUUGAAACUGGCAGACUAGAGUACUGUAGAGGGGGGUAGAAUUUCA